Molecule: transfer RNA, 75 nt
Filed under: Chloroflexota bacterium
Lineage: Bacteria; Bacillati; Chloroflexota
Description: tRNA-Arg
Rfam family: tRNA
About the family: Transfer RNA (tRNA) molecules are approximately 80 nucleotides in length. Their secondary structure includes four short double-helical elements and three loops (D, anti-codon, and T loops). Further hydrogen bonds mediate the characteristic L-shaped molecular structure. tRNAs have two regions of fundamental functional importance: the anti-codon, which is responsible for specific mRNA codon recognition, and the 3' end, to which the tRNAs corresponding amino acid is attached (by aminoacyl-tRNA synthetases). tRNAs cope with the degeneracy of the genetic code in two manners: having more than one tRNA (with a specific anti-codon) for a particular amino acid; and 'wobble' base-pairing, i.e. permitting non-standard base-pairing at the 3rd anti-codon position.
Source: RNAcentral
ACCCCCGUAGCUCAGAGGAAAGAGCUCUGGCCUCCGGAGCCAGGUGCGCGGGUUCGAAUCCCGCCGGGGGUACCA